This 22-nucleotide transfer RNA is filed under the name Haloarcula hispanica. RNAcentral describes it as "partial tRNA-Trp". The record is from RNAcentral. Lineage: Archaea; Methanobacteriati; Methanobacteriota; Halobacteria; Halobacteriales; Haloarculaceae.
GCUGACUCCAGAUCAGCCGAUC